Molecule: long non-coding RNA, 2313 nt
Organism: Salmo salar (Atlantic salmon)
Lineage: Eukaryota; Metazoa; Chordata; Actinopteri; Salmoniformes; Salmonidae
Source: RefSeq, a predicted model, not a curated record
UAACAACAACUAAUAACAACAUGAAGCGCUCCCCACGAAUCCAUGACAAUUCUGGGGCCAUGACAAAAACCGUCCUAGCGAAAAGCAGGCGCUCCAAGUGGAGGCUAAAACACGGUCCUCUCACAUUCCAUUGCGUAGCACGGGGGGAUUUAGGGAGUCUUAUUUCCUUAUAACUGUGCUCCCAUCCACAGAGCGCCCGCUUCGAUCGAGUUGUUAUACCAAAAUUCAGCCAGGAUAGGGAAUAUACGAGGCAGACUAACCAAAGAUUUGGGCCUCAUAUAUUAUUGCCAAAUGUAAUAAUAAUUGCUGGUGGCUUAUUUAAAAACAUAAAAUGAAUAGAUUUAAAUAUCCAGCCAUGUUAACACAUGAUGUCGUGCUUGGAACACAUCAACAGAGAGAAGACCAUCCCUGCAGGAGUUGGGUGACAUCCGACUUAAAUUAGUGGAUGCAUUUUUACAGCAACCUUGAAUUGACUGGAGAACUCAGUGGACCACAUACACUUCAGGAGAAAAUCAACGCAGACUGUUUUUCUCUCCCAAAGACUUUGAUGAACGGAAAUCGUAGUGGAUCACGCCCUCUAGAUUUGUUUUCUACCAAACUUCAGUUCCGGACUCAUAUCUGCAUCUCGACUGGAGCAAAGUUUUCUAAUUUAUGACGGGGAUUUCUUCAGUCUACAGCCGCUCUCUGUCCAUGAGGGAUGGCGCAUGACAAGGGCCUCUGCAACAAACACAUGGAUUACAUUUACUACACUCUCCUCCAGACCAUCAAUAAGUCAAGACCCAUGGAAAUCCAACAAGGACAAAUAAUACAAAGAUAAAAAUACCUCUCUACCACCCCAAGAUGAAGCCAGACUGAUAGUGUGCUUAUGUUCAUUAGCUCACUGUAAAAUAAGCUGUGGCGUGCCACAGGCAAGUGUGCUGGAGCUUCUGUUAUUCCUGCUGUACAUUAAAGAUAUCAAGGAUGCUCGCUCAAUGUCACCCGUUUCUUUAUGCAGAUGAUUCUGCACUCCUGGUGUCUCGCAUAAACCAAACCACUCUGGAGAGUAUACUGAGUGUAGAGCUCACUAACAUCAACAAGCUAUCUCCGCACCUCGGCAAAACAGAAGGAAUAUUGUUUGGGUCCAAAAUGAAACUAAGCGAGUCCUCAGACGUCAGGGUACAGCUAGCAGGACAGGUACUCACAGCCAGAACAGCAGUUAAUUACUUAGGAUGUACACUAGAUGGCAACCUGGCAGGGAGGGAGUAUGGCUACUAAGGUACUAGGUAAGGUGCUAGUGUAAAGGACAUCACGCUGCUUUACACUAAUAGUGUAAGGGACAUCACGCUGCUUGCUUAGUGUCGCGAGUACCACUUCCUCCUGAUUCGGCUCACACCGAGGCUUGAACCCAGGACCUCAAGCGUCUUACCAGUCGGCGCCACGGAAAAGCUAGCUAUUUGUUGGUGCAAGUGGGGAAAGUUCAGGCUGAGGAGUAAGUUUCACACAUCCCCAUGUGCUACACCAGGACCAAGUUCUUGGCUAUGUAGUCUAAGCUGUUGGACAAAGAUUCAAAGAAAGUGCUAGCUGAUGUGCUCAUCCAAAUGUCAUUUUGAUGCUAGCACCUCCUGGUUCGAAGGCUUAACUAAUCUACUAAAAAGCAAGCUCAGAAUAGCCCAGAACAAGUUGAAUCUGAGCCCAUCUACAGUUCUCAUAUUGGUACCAGACAGUUUUAGGAGCUCAACUGGCUGCCGUCUGAGUCAAGGGUCACACAGACCAGACUUAGCUGGGUUCAUAGGAUCAUCUAUGAAGCAGCUCCUAGGCAUUUUGUCUCACUACCUUCCCCAUUUUAGAGACUCCUACAAACACAACAAUAGAGCGAGCUAACGUGUUGUGUGUAGAAGCCUGGCAGGGAAAGGUACUUUUUUAUAUUCAGGAGCCUCUGAGUGGAAUAUUCUGCCUCUGGUCUGUUAAAACUAUUCCUACUCUGAGUAGCUUAAAAAGGUUGUUGAAAUCCUGGUUAAUGGAUUGGGUGCCUCUGUGAGCAAUCCAUCCUAGCCCAAUGAUAAUGACCAAAUAGCCUCCUUUUGUCUAUAGUGUGUAUAUGUUGUUGUGCUCUUAUGACUAAAUAACCAUAUUGACCUGCCAUUUUAGCUUCUGUUUUUUAUUUUGCCACAUAUGACAAAUGCUAUCGUGAAAGAGGACCACAAUUUAAAUAGGUUGUAGACUUUUUUUGUGUUUAUCUUCAACGAUUCUUAAUCAUGCGCAUCAAUUUGUACGUGUACUUUGUUUUUAAAUAUCCAAUAAAAAAAUAAAUAAAAUAGAACAGCAAUGCCUCAA